RNAcentral lists this non-coding RNA (31 nucleotides) under Mus musculus (house mouse). The record is from RNAcentral. Lineage: Eukaryota; Metazoa; Chordata; Mammalia; Rodentia; Muridae.
UNGUGUAGCAUACGUGUUUGCCUGGACAUUU